This 249-nucleotide ribosomal RNA is filed under the name uncultured Rhodocyclaceae bacterium. Its description in RNAcentral is "partial 16S ribosomal RNA". It matches the Rfam family "Bacterial small subunit ribosomal RNA", at positions 796 to 1041 of the family's 1533-position model. Lineage: Bacteria; Pseudomonadati; Pseudomonadota; Betaproteobacteria; Rhodocyclales; Rhodocyclaceae. The record is from RNAcentral.
CACGCCCUAAACGAUGUCAACUAGGUGUUGGGGAAGGAGACUUUCUUAGUACCGCAGCUAACGCGUGAAGUUGACCGCCUGGGGAGUACGGUCGCAAGAUUAAAACUCAAAGGAAUUGACGGGGACCCGCACAAGCGGUGGAUGAUGUGGAUUAAUUCGAUGCAACGCGAAAAACCUUACCUACCCUUGACAUGCCAGGAAUCCUGAAGAGAUUUGGGAGUGCCCGAAAGGGAAUCUGGACACAGGUGC